UCCGAUUCUCAGCUCAGGCGAGACGACCCGCUGAAUUUAAGCCUAUUGCUAAGCGGAGGAAAAGAAACUACCAG
This 74-nucleotide ribosomal RNA is filed under the name Puntius chola (swamp barb). Its description in RNAcentral is "partial 28S ribosomal RNA". It matches the Rfam family "Eukaryotic large subunit ribosomal RNA", at positions 1 to 72 of the family's 3401-position model. The record is from RNAcentral. Lineage: Eukaryota; Metazoa; Chordata; Actinopteri; Cypriniformes; Cyprinidae.